UGAGGGGGGGGCGCUCGGCACAAAGAAAGUGGAAAGUUUGCAGCGCUAGGCGGCCCAGGCUAGGGAGCCCGAUGCGCACGUGCUGGGCCGGGGCCACCGAGACCCCCCACGCCGAGCUCACUGCUUUCUUCUUUCUGCAAGCUGGGGGGGGUGUUGUUGGUAUCGCCCCCUCCUUCUCCUCCCCCCAGGGGUGAAAGUGCAAGAGGAAGUGCAGCCGCUGCCAUCUUUCCUCCGUUCCGAACGCACGGAGCCUGGGGCCGCAGCGCCGCCGCCACUCGUGCCUGGCUUGGGAAAGGGCCCACCCUGCUGCAGCCACCCGCUCGCUUCGGUCGCCGCCUUCGCCGGGCUCCAAGACCCGGCCUACGCCAC
RNAcentral lists this long non-coding RNA (369 nucleotides) under Rattus norvegicus (Norway rat). Its description in RNAcentral is "long non-coding RNA NONRATT009510". Lineage: Eukaryota; Metazoa; Chordata; Mammalia; Rodentia; Muridae. The record is from RNAcentral.